GGGCGAUUAGCUCAGUUGGUAGAGCAUCUCGUUUACACCGAGAGGGUCGGGGGUUCGAGUCCCUCAUCGCCCACCA
RNAcentral lists this transfer RNA (76 nucleotides) under Gammaproteobacteria bacterium. RNAcentral describes it as "tRNA-Val". It matches the Rfam family "tRNA". Rfam says of the family: Transfer RNA (tRNA) molecules are approximately 80 nucleotides in length. Their secondary structure includes four short double-helical elements and three loops (D, anti-codon, and T loops). RNAcentral also lists the same sequence under 4 other names. Lineage: Bacteria; Pseudomonadati; Pseudomonadota; Gammaproteobacteria. The record is from RNAcentral.